Molecule: long non-coding RNA, 412 nt
Filed under: Solanum tuberosum (potato)
Lineage: Eukaryota; Viridiplantae; Streptophyta; Magnoliopsida; Solanales; Solanaceae
Description: long non-coding RNA (STUB_LNC005496)
Source: RNAcentral
GUACAUCGUAGUUCAAGGGUUACCACCAAUAGGAUGCCUUCCAUUACAUAUCUCAUUGUGUCCACUGAAAGCUGCUCUUGAUCAUAUGGGAUGUGCAGCAGCUGUCAACGCAGCAGUAAUGUUGCACAACCAGAUCCUUCAAAAAAAAUUGGAAAUAUUCCGUAGUUUAUAUCCUAAUUGUCAUUUCUUAUAUGCUGACUACUGGAAUGCAUAUCUAACAAUAAAGAUGAACCUAAAAAAGUACCAAUUUGAGGAAGCUUUCAAACCUUGCUGUGGAGCUGUAGGAGGACCAUUGAACUUCAACCUGCAUUCGCCGUGUGGCUCACCUGGAACCGUUAAAUGUAAUGAUCCAAGCAAAUUUAUCAGCUGGGAUGGUAUCCAUCUUACAGAAGCGAUGAAUCGGAAAGUCACU